CCCUUAGAUGUUCUGGGCUGCACGCGCGCUACACUGGUGCGUUCAGCGAGUUUAGCACCUUAACAGAUAUGUUUGGGUAAUCUUCUGAAAACGCACCGUGAUGGGGAUCGAUUAUUGUAAUUAUUAAUCGUCAACGAGGAAUUCCUAGUAAGUGUGAAUCAUCAGUUCGCGCUGAUUACGUCCCUGCCCUUUGUACACACCGCCCGUCGCUGCUACCGAUUGAGUGGUCCGGUGAAUUAUUCGGACCGGUGGACUGUGGGGAAACCCGCGGCCUGCUGGGAAGUCUUGGGAACCUUAUCACUUAGAGGAAGCAGAAGUCGUAACA
RNAcentral lists this ribosomal RNA (325 nucleotides) under uncultured eukaryote. RNAcentral's name for it is "partial 18S ribosomal RNA". It matches the Rfam family "Eukaryotic small subunit ribosomal RNA", at positions 1470 to 1796 of the family's 1831-position model. The record is from RNAcentral.